RNAcentral lists this ribosomal RNA (1343 nucleotides) under uncultured bacterium. RNAcentral describes it as "16S ribosomal RNA". It matches the Rfam family "Bacterial small subunit ribosomal RNA", at positions 28 to 1378 of the family's 1533-position model. The record is from RNAcentral.
GACGAACGCUUUCGGCGUGCUUAACACACGCAAGUCGAACGGAAAGGCCCUGCUUUUGUGGGGUGCUCGAGUGGCGAACGGGUGUGUAACACGUGAGUAACCUGCCCUUGACUUUGGGAUAACUUCAGGAAACUGGGGCUAAUACCGGAUAGGAGCUCCUGCUGCAUGGUGGGGGUUGGAAAGUUUCGGCGGUUGGGGAUGGACUCGCGGCUUAUCAGCUUGUUGGUGGGGUAGUGGCUUACCAAGGCUUUGACGGGUAGCCGGCCUGAGAGGGUGACCGGCCACAUUGGGACUGAGAUACGGCCCAGACUCCUACGGGAGGCAGCAGUGGGGAAUAUUGCACAAUGGGCGGAAGCCUGAUGCAGCAACGCCGCGUGCGGGAUGACGGCCUUCGGGUUGUAAACCGCUUUCGCCUGUGACGAAGCGUGAGUGACGGUAAUGGGUAAAGAAGCACCGGCUAACUACGUGCCAGCAGCCGCGGUGAUACGUAGGGUGCGAGCGUUGUCCGGAUUUAUUGGGCGUAAAGGGCUCGUAGGUGGUUGAUCGCGUCGGAAGUGUAAUCUUGGGGCUUAACCCUGAGCGUGCUUUCGAUACGGGUUGACUUGAGGAAGGUAGGGGAGAAUGGAAUUCCUGGUGGAGCGGUGGAAUGCGCAGAUAUCAGGAGGAACACCAGUGGCGAAGGCGGUUCUCUGGGCCUUUCCUGACGCUGAGGAGCGAAAGCGUGGGGAGCGAACAGGCUUAGAUACCCUGGUAGUCCACGCUGUAAACGGUGGGUACUAGGUGUGGGGUCCAUUCCACGGGUUCCGUGCCGUAGCUAACGCUUUAAGUACCCCGCCUGGGGAGUACGGCCGCAAGGCUAAAACUCAAAGGAAUUGACGGGGCCCCGCACAAGCGGCGGAGCAUGCGGAUUAAUUCGAUGCAACGCGUAGAACCUUACCUGGGUUUGACAUGGAUCGGGAGUGCUCAGAGAUGGGUGUGCCUCUUUUGGGGUCGGUUCACAGGUGGUGCAUGGCUGUCGUCAGCUCGUGUCGUGAGAUGUUGGGUUAAGUCCCGCAACGAGCGCAACCCUUGUUCACUGUUGCCAGCACGUUAUGGUGGGGACUCAGUGGAGACCGCCGGGGUCAACUCGGAGGAAGGUGGGGAUGACGUCAAGUCAUCAUGCCCCUUAUGUCCAGGGCUUCACGCAUGCUACAAUGGCUGGUACAGAGAGUGGCGAGCCUGUGAGGGUGAGCGAAUCUCGGAAAGCCGGUCUCAGUUCGGAUUGGGGUCUGCAACUCGACCUCAUGAAGUCGGAGUCGCUAGUAAUCGCAGAUCAGCAACGCUGCGGUGAAUACGUUCCCGGG